GACGUAGGGCGCGAGCGUUGUCCGGAUUUAUUGGGCGUAAAGAGCUCGUAGGCGGCUUGUCGCGUCGUUCGUGAAAACCUGCAGCUCAACUGCAGGCUUGCGGUCGAUACGGGCAGGCUAGAGUUCGGUAGGGGAGACUGGAAUUCCUGGUGUAGCGGUGAAAUGCGCAGAUAUCAGGAGGAACACCGGUGGCGAAGGCGGCAUCCUGGACCGGUAUUGACGCUGAGGCGCGAAAGCCAGGGGAGCAAACGGG
RNAcentral lists this ribosomal RNA (253 nucleotides) under uncultured bacterium. RNAcentral's name for it is "partial 16S ribosomal RNA". It matches the Rfam family "Bacterial small subunit ribosomal RNA", at positions 524 to 776 of the family's 1533-position model. The record is from RNAcentral.